This is a long non-coding RNA of Scophthalmus maximus (turbot), 5485 nucleotides long. RefSeq lists it as uncharacterized. The transcript has 2 exons. Lineage: Eukaryota; Metazoa; Chordata; Actinopteri; Pleuronectiformes; Scophthalmidae. The record is from RefSeq and is a predicted model, not a curated record.
UUGUCAUUAUUCUAUACCCUCUCACCGCCUGGUUGUUCGUCGAAUCGCAGAAGGCCGUUGGUGCAAAUAUGGAUUGGAGGGAAACUUCUUAAAAUUAUUCUGACUGUUCUCUUAAUACAUCUUCUCUGGGAUGUCUCCGCAUGAUGUCCCAUUGUCUAUGAUUAACCAUUUCAUUGAUUGGACUAAAAUUCUCCAUAUAGCUUACAACAGAGCAGUGAUUUCCAAGUGGGGGUACUUGUACCUCAGGGGGUAUAGCUCAGGAGCUGCCAGGGGGAACAAGCUCAACUCAACGAAAUGUGUCAUAAAAUUAUAUUCACGUGCGAUCUGGAGGAAGAUACGCAACCACAUAGGAUUAAAUUGGUGCUGGUGAAUUCACAAUAAGCAGCCGAUGAAUGUUGUCACCACAUGUAGCAACCAAAGCUGUUUUCAAGACGUGAACUCUGGACCAUAUCCGGAAAAUUGGGUCAAGACAUUUUCCGGAGGUUGCUGUUCACAUAUGAAGAACGCAAUAGUCCGUGUCGGUUGCGUUCACAACAGCAGGAAGAAUUCUGAAACAUUCAGGCGAGCGGGCGGCGCCUUAAGAGUGAAAGAUGGAUGGAAACUACUUAGCAAGUUCGCCAUUAGCUAAAAAUAAUUGGACAUACGGUUGAAGAAUAAAUAGAAUAAGUGGACGUAAUGAUUGAGCUCCAACCUACAGGGAACACUCAAACUGAGCAAACUGAGAGCCGCAUUGUAGAAAAACCCCAUAUAGUUUGCCUGAAGCAAAGGGGCGGAGCUUGACCACGAGGCCAGGUAGCUUCAGCUCCUCAAAUAUUGACUUCCUUCCUCGCUGCCUGCCUGGUCAGGAGGUGUGUUUGUGUGCUUUGGAGUCCGAAAAGGUGUGUGGUGAGAGAGGUAGGAAGGGGAGGGCGGGGGUGCAUGUACAUGUGGUUGUGUGAGUCUGUGUGUCCACAUCCAUCAAAAUAAAGGGUUUGAUGACUUUGGCCUGCCCUCAUUGCACCAUAAUAGGAUACAUUAGACCCUAAUUCACUUAGAGCCAUUAGAGAGCAAGAAAAUUCCUGUACUGGAAUAACAACACGGGGGCCAAAUGAUCUGCACUGGUCCUGCUGCCGAAGGAUCCAACUAUUAUAUUACUCCCAGUCAAAUAUUUUUCAGUACACUUAGGGAAAUCAAAUUUCACCGUAAAAUUCCUGUUACUUAAAGGCAACAGUUUCUUUUCAUUAGUUUUGGUUUAAAAUCCUUUUUCUUUUUUCCCAUUUGUCAAUGAUAAUUCAUCAUAUUUUAACAUGUGCAUACGCCAGAAAUAAAUUUAAACACAUUAGUGUAAUCGCAGGAAUAUAGAAAUAUGUCUAGGCUGUAAGAAAUCGUUUUGUCCAUCUAGUUAGCUGUAACAUGACUUUAUUCCGCAUCAGUCUAUAAUCUAAAAGGACAUUUCAUGACCAAUAAAUUUACAUGGGUUCUGCAGCAGUAGGAAAUGGGACCGUGGCUCAAGAUAGUCACACCCAUUGUGAGAAAGGCCCUGGUCCCUUAGUAGCGUCCGUCCAGGGCAGCAAGGAGGGUUUUUUUCUCGUUUUUUUCUGGGCAGCCCUCCCAGGAAAUGUGGCCUCACCUGGUUUGGGUUGGUCAAACUUAAGACAACAUCAAGUAGCAUAUGCCAUUUAGCAGAAGCUUUUUUCCAUGGUUUUGGGCAAGAGCAUUACAUUGAGUCCUCAAAUUAGUGACCUCAAAAUAACUGCAAAUAGUCCAGAGAGAACCAUUAAUAAGAUUUCGUCUCAGCGAAUGCCUGCUGAAAAGAUUUUUCCUCACGAGCGGGAAGAAAACAUCUAUACUUUAUUUGACGAAAUAAGUGCUUAUCAAUUGAUCUACGCUUCUUUCGUGUGAAAACGGCCUGGUCACUGGAUGACCUGGGCGAGACCCUGAAUCCAUGUCAGCGGCAGGGGUGCUGCUCUGUCACUGACCCUGACCUCUGAACUUCCUGAGUGUGUGGAAAAGCAAUGAAGGAAUUUCUCUGUAGGGAUCAAUAAAACCAGCUCUAGGAUACAUAGUGUGAUACAUUUUUAAUAUGGGUGAUGGCAGGGACUGAUAGAGACUGUUGACCAUUUUUUUGCUAUAGAUUUACAUCAUCCCAAUUAUGCCCUGAUGAACUCAGGGAAACCUUCUGUACCAAGGUCAGGAGGGUAACCCACUAAGCUAUACCAGCAGCCCACAUGUACAUACGUGCACAGAAAGACAUCCAUAACAUUUUUUGAACACACACACACACACACACACACACACACACACACACACACACACACACACACACGCACGCACCCCUAACUUGACUUUCCAUCACUAUUUCCAUAGUCAACCGGCUGGCUGAUAUUAUGUCUAAUUUCAGGCAUGUAAUUAGUGUGUAGCCUGGUCUGGUUCUGUCUGGGUCAUAGUCGAGACUGUGUGUGUGUGUGUGUGUGUGUGUGUGUGUGUGUGUGUGUGUGUGUGUGUGUGUGUGUGUGUGUGUGUGUGUGUGUGUGUGUGUGUGUGUGUGUGUGUGUGUGUGUGUGUGUGUGUGUGUCCACACAGAGUGGGUCUAUACUUGGAAGGAUACGCAAGCACUUAUAUGUGCAAAUGCAUAAAUAGCAGAGAACAACCAAUAUGGAGCAUGGGCAGCCGCAAAACAUACACAUGACUCAUAUUAAGACUCGUGAAUGUGCCAAACUAAGCAGGCAGACACUGAUCAUGUUUUCACUCUUUCAAAUUUAGAUGAAAUGCGAAUCUUCCAUCUCCCCAGCGAAUAGUAAUUGGGAACAUCAAAGACAAAGUAGUGUGUGUGGGCUGGAUGUUACAUGUAUGAACUAAUUCUGACACCCUUGUCAAAUACAGAGGGAGGAAAAGAUUAAUGCCCCGGAGCGAAGUUUUCCAUUUUCUGUUGCAUCAGUUGUGCAGAACCGGUUUUGCAGUCCAGGUGAGGUCAACUUCUGGAAGCUGAAAUUGAUUCACAGUCUUCAGUCUGUGGACUUUCGCACUCGGCUUGAACUUACUGUAUCUUACAAAACGUUGUUUUUAAAUGCAACGCUCCACAAACAUGAAUUAUUUGUAGUUUAUUGUUAAACCUCUCAUUCCAAGUCCUAACCGCUCUGGCACUUUGCAGCACAAAUUUGCUUGUAUGUGUGUGUGUGUGUGUGUAACCCUGGGGUGCCUGGAUGAUAUGUGCGGCAGCGACACUUGGAAUGCCCAGAAUGCGCGAGGUGGUGGGGAGAAGCGAGGGACUUGGUAGCCACGCCCCUGACGGCAGGUCACACUUCAGCAAUUGGUUAGUCCCUUGAGGUCGGAGUGCAAUCGGGAUCCUGUCACUCCUCUGAAGAAAAGUCGAAGGUCGACUUCCACCGGAGCUCUCCUUUCCUGCCCUCGCCCAGCGGGGUUCUUCCCAGCUUCCAAGGGCCGUGAAGUAAAGGAAUUUCUUUUUUUCCCCAUAAAAAGAAGAAAAAAAAACCUUACAGCUAAAAUCCUUUUAUUUUCGGCCACAUGUAUUUAGUGUUUACAGAAUCUAUCAGGUAUACAUAUUUUGCAAUUGUUUGCAUUUAAAACUUCAAACAAUUUUUUAUUUAUUUUAUCAUUUACACCCUCUUUUUUCCAGGGCCAAUAAUUUCGAUUUGGACUUUCAUGAUCAACUUAUUCUGUAUCUCUACAUCUGGCCCAAAUAGAGAGAAGCAGUGUUACAGGCGGCAAGUUAUCGGCUUCAGCAGUAUCCAACUUCACCUCACAGACACUGAUGACAAGCUUGAAUUAAGCAUCCAGAGGAAGGACGCCAGGACAAGAGGAGAGGAAAGGAGGAGAGGUGAGGAGGAAAGACAAGAGGGUCAGAUGAGUGGAAUAAAGGGAUGUAAAUGAGAGGACCGGACAAGCGAGAAGAGGGUAGAUGGGCGGGAGAGGAGAAGAAAGCAAAGGAGGAAGGAGGUGAGAAGGGUAUAAAAUGAUUACAGAGGAGUGUAGGACAAGAAGAGAGAGGAAGGAAACAUGGCUAGUAGAAGGUCGGGAGGAGAGGAGACGGGAUGGACGUGAAGCAGUAACUUCCUGUGAGCCACGAGUCUGGAGAGGAAACACGUCAAGGAUAAAGGGGGUGGCUUGCAAAGGGAAAUCAGUUUCAUCUCUGGAGCCUAAACUUGCCAUUUGUUUUUCCUAAUUUGGUCAGUGGUGAACUGGGCAAAAAUAUUCAUUAUCCACGUUGGACUCACCAGUGGUCGUCAAUGCUCGUGACAGGAGCAUGAAGAAACGGGGAAUGAUCUGUCGUUGGUGAAAUCACCCAAAUGUGAACGUCUGCAUGAUUGUUCCCAAAGGUCCAUGCAAACUAAGGCUACAUCCACACUACUAGGUUUACACCUGCUGUCCACACCCUACUACCAAAGUUUUCAGGCGCCUGAAUCAGAAAUUUUGGAAAUGCUGCUGGCCCCCGUUUCAGUUUGAAAACUCUGGGGGAACGUCGUAGUAUGAAUGGGCAAAAACAGACGUUAAGAAACGAUGACGCAGUUCCACCCGUAUCCUUGAUUGGUUCUUAUCGAUGACGACUCAUUGACGACACAUAGACUUUUGCAAACACUAACUGUAAGUGACAGUACCACCUCGUCGGUCCUCCUCUAAAAUGUCACCAUUGUUGUUUCUAGCUGGUACAUCAUCUGUAACUAAGCAACUGACUGCAGAGAAAACAAUCUGCUUCCUGUUAAGCACACGCCCAGUGUUUUCAGGUGUGUUUGUAUGGACGGAGUUUAAUUGUGAUCCGGAGCUAAAGCGGUCAUCCUUUUGUUUCAAAACGUAGUAGUAUGCGUGUAACUUAGCGUGUCUACAAUAGUGUUUUCAAAAGUCUCAGUCUCAGGUGCUUGAAAACUCCAGAGCAGCGUGGACGGCAGGCGUGAAAACCUAGCAAACGUGAUGCAUCUUAGAACUGAAAUGUGGCCGUGUGGAUGCAGGCUUAGCAUGGAGUCUGAUGCACUGGUGCACAGAUCGAACGAAUGCUGUUCUAAUUAUUGAGCUUCAGAGGUGCCGGUCGGUCGGCACACACUUUUGAACUUUGAUCAGAGCCAGGUAAACUGUUUCCCCCUGUUAGUGUUUAUGCUAAGCUAAUCUAAUCAUCUCCUGGCUUCACGCUUGCCACAUGCCAUUGAUCUUCUCAUCUAACCCUCAGCAAGAACGCAAAUAUGUUUAUUGACCGAAACAUCAAACUAUGCUUGUUGUUUGUACGGAGGUCUUUCAAUAAUUCCAGGUAUACCCAGGAAAGAGACUUUAUCAAUGACAGGUCCCAGCUGAGGAAAUGAGGCUCAGGUGUCAGAUUUUAUUUAUCUUUGUAAAUAUUUGUAUUUGUAUCUUUGCCUUGUGUGAAACAACCUUUUAACUUGUCUUUUUGUUAAGGGCAGCACGAGCUAAAGUUGAAUUUUUCUACAUUAUCAUUGAAAUUAAAAACAUUCCUUUUUUAUCAUGAAAAUUGUGAAAUGAAAUAAAUCCAAAACAUGAA